Molecule: ribosomal RNA, 426 nt
Filed under: uncultured Actinomycetes bacterium
Lineage: Bacteria; Bacillati; Actinomycetota; Actinomycetes
Description: bacterial SSU rRNA
Rfam family: Bacterial small subunit ribosomal RNA
Source: RNAcentral
AACGCGAAGAACCUUACCAAGGUUUGACAUGCAGGGAAAAGCCGUAGAGAUAUGGUGUCCGUAAGGGUCCUGCACAGGUGGUGCAUGGCUGUCGUCAGCUCGUGUCGUGAGAUGUUGGGUUAAGUCCCGCAACGAGCGCAACCCUCGUCCUAUGUUGCCAGCGGGUAAUGCCGGGGACUCAUAGGAGACUGCCGGGGUCAACUCGGAGGAAGGUGGGGAUGACGUCAAGUCCUCAUGCCCCUUAUGUCUUGGGCUGCAAACAUGCUACAAUGGCCGGUACAAAGGGUUGCGAGACCGCAAGGUGGAGCGAAUCCCAAAAAGCCGGUCUCAGUUCGGAUUGGGGUCUGCAACUCGACCCCAUGAAGUCGGAGUCGCUAGUAAUCGCGAAUCAGCAACGUCGCGGUGAAUACGUUCCCGGGCCUUGUA